GAGAAAGCGAACAGCGUACGUGACUAACCAAGCUAUUAAGAUGGCCGUCAUUACCGAUGUAAUUCGUGUUACAAAAUAAGGGAGUGUAAAGAUUCAGAUUCAGUAGUUAAAAUUUAUGAAUUGGAUGAAGUAAUUGACGAGGAGAAAAGUUGACUGCGUUAAUAAAUGGAUAAUCGAGUAAUUUGUAAACAAAUAACUAAGUCGGAUUGAAGCAAUUGAAAGAUAAUUAAUUGAAAACUUACAAUU
Centruroides sculpturatus (bark scorpion) is the source of this 246-nucleotide long non-coding RNA. RefSeq lists it as uncharacterized. NCBI's taxonomy places the organism in Eukaryota, Metazoa, Arthropoda, Arachnida, Scorpiones, Buthidae. The record is from RefSeq and is a predicted model, not a curated record. The transcript has 3 exons.